Molecule: ribosomal RNA, 522 nt
Filed under: uncultured Glomus
Lineage: Eukaryota; Fungi; Glomeromycota; Glomeromycetes; Glomerales; Glomeraceae
Description: SSU rRNA
Rfam family: Eukaryotic small subunit ribosomal RNA
Source: RNAcentral
AGCAGCCGCGGUAAUUCCAGCUCCAAUAGCGUAUAUUAAAGUUGUUGCAGUUAAAAAGCUCGUAGUUGAAUUUCGGGGUUAGUAGGUUGGUCAUGCCUCUGGUAUGUACUGGUCUCACUGAUUCCUCCUUCCUGAUGAACCUUAAUGCCAUUAAUUUGGUGUUUUGGGGAAUUUGGACUGUUACUUUGAAAAAAUUAGAGUGUUUAAAGCAAGCUAACGCUUGAAUACAUUAGCAUGGAAUAAUGAAAUAGGACGUUUGAUCCUAUUUUGUUGGCUUCUAGGAUUGACGUAAUGAUUAAUAGGGAUAGUUGGGGGCAUUAGUAUUCAAUUGUCAGAGGUGAAAUUCUUGGAUUUAUUGAAGACUAACUACUGCGAAAGCAUUUGCCAAGGAUGUUUUCAUUAAUCAAGAACGAAAGUUAGGGGAUCGAAGACGAUCAGAUACCGUCGUAGUCUUAACCAUAAACUAUGCCGACUAGGGAUCGGAUGAUGUUAAUUUUUUAAUGACUCAUUCGGCGCCUUACG